AGGUGAACCUGCGGAAGGAUCAUUAUCGAAUUCAGAGGUUGAUGCUGGCUUCAUUGCACUGUGCUCGCCUCUUUGAUAAUAUUCAUACACCCGUGCACUUUUGAGGGACCCCUGGCCCCUCUUAUUUACAAACCCCCUUUGCAAACAGUGAACGUGAAUUGUGCCUUUUGGCCUUAAUAUGAAUACAACUUUUAACAACGGAUCUCUUGGCUCUCG
RNAcentral lists this unclassified non-coding RNA (216 nucleotides) under uncultured fungus. RNAcentral describes it as "partial contains 18S rRNA, ITS1 and 5.8S rRNA". The record is from RNAcentral. Lineage: Eukaryota; Fungi.